CGCACGGGUGAGUAACACGUAUCCAACCUGCCGUCUACUCUUGGACAGCCUUCUGAAAGGAAGAUUAAUACAAGAUGGCAUCAUGAGUUCACAUGUUCACAUGAUUAAAGGUAUUCCGGUAGACGAUGGGGAUGCGUUCCAUUAGAUAGUAGGCGGGGUAACGGCCCACCUAGUCUUCGAUGGAUAGGGGUUCUGAGAGGAAGGUUCCCCACAUUGGAACUGAGACACGGUCCAA
RNAcentral lists this ribosomal RNA (235 nucleotides) under uncultured bacterium. Its description in RNAcentral is "partial 16S ribosomal RNA". It matches the Rfam family "Bacterial small subunit ribosomal RNA", at positions 99 to 334 of the family's 1533-position model. The record is from RNAcentral.